Molecule: long non-coding RNA, 516 nt
Organism: Neofelis nebulosa (Clouded leopard)
Lineage: Eukaryota; Metazoa; Chordata; Mammalia; Carnivora; Felidae
Exons: 2
Source: RefSeq, a predicted model, not a curated record
CUAACACCUGUGCCCCAGGUGUCGGGUCUGCAAGAGCUAAUUAAGAUUGUGGCGUCAGGAGGUGGGCCCUGCGUGACCUCGCAUUUGCUCCAUUCCGGGCACCAGCGUGCAUAUGUGGCUUUUGGUUGAAGGGUCUUUUAAAAUAUAUCUGAAGUUUAUUUGCAGGAAAAGGAUCUGCAAGCACCAAGCCCCAGAAGAUCCCUCACCCCCACAAAGACUAGUUUUGAAUGUCAGAAGAUAUUUUCCUUCACAGAUAACAAAACCAUUGCCAUGUAUUUUCACUUUGCCUAAGUAACCUAAACACCCUCAACCCCAAUGCCAAGAAGGACACUUACCAGUCGCUGUUUCGAUAGAAGCGGAACAAGUAGGUAACUACAUAUAUGACGAGGACCUCGUGCUGCACUGCGCGACGAGAAUGCAGGUUCCGGCUCCUGUCACGGUCCGUGAUGACUCAGCUCUCUCCACAGUUCCAGUUAAUGACCAGCUAAUAAAAUGGCUGCAAUCUUGCCUGAGAAA